This 71-nucleotide small nucleolar RNA is filed under the name Spinacia oleracea (spinach). RNAcentral describes it as "Small nucleolar RNA Z159/U59". It matches the Rfam family "Small nucleolar RNA Z159/U59". Rfam says of the family: This family consists of several snoRNA Z159 or U59 sequences which are members of the C/D class of snoRNA which contain the C (UGAUGA) and D (CUGA) box motifs. This family seems to be found exclusively in rice. C/D box small nucleolar RNAs are known to act as a methylation guides for 18S ribosomal RNA in plants. The record is from Rfam by way of RNAcentral. Lineage: Eukaryota; Viridiplantae; Streptophyta; Magnoliopsida; Caryophyllales; Amaranthaceae.
GUCUCUGAGGAUGAUUUCUUUCUUCUGAUAUCUUCAUGUGGAAAAAAAUUGGAGACCUGAACUGAGAAGGU